This 91-nucleotide transfer RNA is filed under the name Candidatus Nanopelagicales bacterium. RNAcentral describes it as "tRNA-Ser". It matches the Rfam family "tRNA". Rfam says of the family: Transfer RNA (tRNA) molecules are approximately 80 nucleotides in length. Their secondary structure includes four short double-helical elements and three loops (D, anti-codon, and T loops). Lineage: Bacteria; Bacillati; Actinomycetota; Actinomycetes; Candidatus Nanopelagicales. The record is from RNAcentral. RNAcentral also lists the same sequence under 1 other name.
GGAGGGCUGUCCGAGUGGCCUAAGGAGAUGGUCUUGAAAACCAUUGUGAGGUAACCCCUCACCCAGGGUUCGAAUCCCUGGCCCUCCGCCA